Molecule: long non-coding RNA, 510 nt
Filed under: Zostera marina
Lineage: Eukaryota; Viridiplantae; Streptophyta; Magnoliopsida; Alismatales; Zosteraceae
Description: long non-coding RNA (ZMAR_LNC003150)
Source: RNAcentral
AUUUUUCCUAGAGUGGUUUCUGAAACUAUGAAUAGGUGGUUGCUUCAUGCUCCGUUAGAGGAAGAGGUAAGGGCUACAUUGUUCUCCUUUAAUUCGGGGAAAUCCCCUGGGCCAGAUGGUUUCACAUCGGAAUUUUUCAAAAAAAUUUGGGGAGAUCUUAAAGGCCUAGUAAUAAUACAUGCAUGUACACUUUAUAAUAAUACAUGCAUGUACACUUUAUUUAGUCCCACAUUCAUAAAAAGUAUAAAGAAUAUUUUAUAAUAUUUUUAACUACACUUUUUUAGUCCCACAUCGAUAGAAUUCAAAAAACACAAAGAAGGUUGGUCUAUAAAUAAAGAUUCAUUUUGUCUAAAACAAAUAUGAAGUUUUAAGAGUGAGAGGAGCUUUUAUUAAAAAUAAUAUAUCUCUUUUCAUGGACCAAUGUAUAAAUUUUUGGCAUAAAAAUAUAUUUUUAGCCUUAGUGAAUUUAUGAAGAAGAAAAAAUUACGAAAAUACCCCCACCAGUUAACC